Molecule: ribosomal RNA, 497 nt
Filed under: uncultured bacterium
Lineage: Bacteria
Description: partial 16S ribosomal RNA
Rfam family: Bacterial small subunit ribosomal RNA
Source: RNAcentral
GACGAACGCUGGCGGCGUGCCUAAUACAUGCAAGUUGAGCGAUGAAGAUUGGUGCUUGCACCAAUUUGAAGAGCAGCGAACGGGUGAGUAACGCGUGGGGAAUCUGCCUUUGAGCGGGGGACAACAUUUGGAAACGAAUGCUAAUACCGCAUAACAACUUUAAACAUAAGUUUUAAGUUUGAAAGAUGCAAUUGCAUCACUCAAAGAUGAUCCCGCGUUGUAUUAGCUGGUUGGUGAGGUAAAGGCUCACCAAGGCGAUGAUACAUAGCCGACCUGAGAGGGUGAUCGGCCACAUUGGGACUGAGACACGGCACAAACUCCGACGGGAGGCAGCAGUAGGGAAUCUUCGGCAAUGGACGAAAGUCUGACCGAGCAACGCCGCGUGAGUGCAGAAGGUUUUCGGAUCGUAAAACUCUGUUGGUAGAGAAGAACGUUGGUGAGAGUGGAAAGCUCAUCAAGUGACGGUAACUACCCAGAAAGGGACGGCUAACUACGUG